AGCCGUCUAAUGCUGGUAGAGAUGGGAUCCGAAGCCCAUAGAGAAUUAAAACAGGCUCUCCCAUUCACCUCCUACGCCGACACGUCCUCGUCGUGCAGUGUGGUAGCAUGUGCCAUCACUUAUCCAAACUUGGAUACAUGGGCAUAACCCAACCCCUUGGGCGAAUGGUGGCAGAUAGCGAACUAGGAGGGG
Anopheles gambiae (African malaria mosquito) is the source of this 192-nucleotide non-coding RNA. The record is from Rfam. NCBI's taxonomy places the organism in Eukaryota, Metazoa, Arthropoda, Insecta, Diptera, Culicidae.